This 201-nucleotide long non-coding RNA is filed under the name Homo sapiens (human). RNAcentral's name for it is "HSALNT0147569". Lineage: Eukaryota; Metazoa; Chordata; Mammalia; Primates; Hominidae. The record is from RNAcentral.
UAACCUCUUGAAAGUCUUUCAUCACUUCCACUGCAUUUUUGUUGGUCAAAACAAGUCACAAAGCCAGCCCAGAGUCUAAGAGAAAGGAAAAAGGUCUUGUGUGUUCAGGGAUGGGAGGAAUUGUUGGCGACUAUCACCAUGUCUUGUCAGCCUGUCUACUUUGCAGCUUGUACCUCAGGGCUGUGCUACCUGUAUUGCAGU